UUUCCAUUCUUUAAGAUUUAGCAGAGAUUCUCCAGUCUAUUUGAUUCAACAACGAACAAUUCCCGUUAUAAGAAAAUAAUGUUUCUUUUGUGUCUAUUUCAUGAUCCAUCAAAAGGUAACUAAAAAGAAUCAAAUUGUUUUCAAGUUGAGCAUCAAUAACAAUCACUUUCAAUUCGAUAACUAUUUAAGAUUCUGUGCUACCUGAAAGUGUUUCAUGUCACAUCGAAUCUAAGGAAUCAAAAUUUUCCUGCGUAACAUCAACAUAAUCAACUUUUGUCAAACCUGUCAAAUCGUUUUUAUAAUAUAACAAAGUUAUCAUGCCAACGAAUGUAUAAAAAACUGGGAGUGAUGAUUGAUUACCUUGGAUAGUUGGUCAAUAACGGUAGUUUUUUAUGAGAAAAUCUUUAAGCCAUGCUGAUAGUGGACAAUUGAAGAGGUGGUGAUGGCAGAGAAGGUGGAAAAGUUGAUCUUUUCAGUGUUAAUAAUGAUAAUUAAUUAACUUGAAUGGGUGCAGUUGAAGGCAUUAUCAUCACAUUGAUGUGUCUUAAUUGUUUGGAAAACCAUCAAAAUAACAAAUCAACACGAUUGUUAAAACUUACUAGGUAAAUGCUAUUAAUAGUUAUAUCUGUUUAAUCUGGUUGAAUUUUUCUCAAUUAGGAUCAAAUUAACAUGCCUUAGGUUUAACAAGAUAAUGUUAUGUUAUGAGUUUAGUGGUAAUAUCACUUGAUUGUUAUUUAUUCUGCUAAUUAUCUUAAGCUUAAUUGUUGUUGCUUAUAAAUAUUACCUUAUUAAUCUUAUGCUGAUUAGUAUAUAAGUUUGAUGUAAC
Long non-coding RNA from Panonychus citri (citrus red mite), 826 nucleotides. RefSeq lists it as uncharacterized. Lineage: Eukaryota; Metazoa; Arthropoda; Arachnida; Trombidiformes; Tetranychidae. The transcript is spliced from 3 exons. The record is from RefSeq and is a predicted model, not a curated record.